GGAUGCGAUUAUACCAGCACUAAAGCACCAGAUCCCAUCAGAACUCCGAAGUUAAGCGUGCUUGGGCGAGAGUAGUACUAGGAUGGGUGACCUCCUGGGAAGUCCUCGUGUUGCAUUCC
This 119-nucleotide ribosomal RNA is filed under the name Triticum aestivum (bread wheat). Lineage: Eukaryota; Viridiplantae; Streptophyta; Magnoliopsida; Poales; Poaceae. The record is from RNAcentral.